RNAcentral lists this long non-coding RNA (6376 nucleotides) under Sus scrofa (pig). RNAcentral's name for it is "lncRNA (ENSSSCG00015072641.1)". Lineage: Eukaryota; Metazoa; Chordata; Mammalia; Artiodactyla; Suidae. The record is from RNAcentral.
GGUCGAGGCGCAGGUCGUGGGGAGGAGAGGUUCCCCCGGUUGGGUGAAGCGUUGCCGCGACCCCCCGCCCCCCGCCAAAAAAACCCGUGAUGCGCUGGGGCCCCUUGCUGAGCGCCGGCGUUAAGUUUGGAAGGCUGUGUGUGCGCCGCGCAGGAGCACCUGCCCGCCGGCUGGGCGGCCGAUACCGGCCGAGUUGAGUCGAUUUGGCUCUUGUUUUGUAAACUAGCCUUUGUCUGGUAAGUGCGGCUAAAAUACUUUAAACCCUUGUUAACCCCUGCAGUGCCUUAUCUGGGGCCCACACAGGCUCUGGUUUGGAAACAAAAAGCGGGACCACCAGAUGAAAAAGGGGGCGCUUCUUUUGUGAAAGCCUGGAACAAAGGGCCCCGCGGAUUCUGGCUGGGAACCCCCCCCCACAAGCCGAUUUCCGGGGCAGCAGGUCUUGUUGGGGUACUUUGAAAUGUCCCCAGUUGGCCGGCUGGGCCCUCUCCCCGGGAUUCUUCCCCUCCUCCCGCUGGAAGGUGGGGGGGCCCAGGUGAGCAGGCUGCCCCUGGGCCUCCCUUGGUGUUACUUCAGCUCGGGGCACGGAAGCGUUGCUCAGCCUGUCUUUACGGGCUGCCUCCUCCUUUGGGGAUGGCAGAACCUGAGGCGCAGGCUGCUGCCUGACUCAGCCGCCCUGCCACAGGUGAGGGGGGCCCAGGGCGCAGGCUCCGACUGGCAGCCCGUGUGUCAUCUGCGUGCGGCUGCUGGUGGAUUGUGCGGGGAGUCACCACCCCGCCCGUCUGCCCCGGGGACUAGGAAGCUGUCUGCAGGCCGGGCUCUGUGAUAACAGCUACACGGAUGCGUCCCAGUGGCCCCCUAUCAGCGCCGUCCUGACCUCUGGGUGAAGGGGGGGUGCUGAGUUGGCCUUGGCCACUUUGUCUACUGCGGCAACAUGCGAAGGGGGCCUCGGGAGCCAGCCAGGAUUUUCCUUUUGGUGAACCUUAGGGGCGGUGCAGGUCUGGAGCCUGGAGCUGGUGAGCAGCCAGGGCGGUGACCCGGGGUCAGCCCCGCCUUAGGCAGGGAGGCUGGGAAGCCGGUGUCCUGGUUCCAGGCACCGUCAUUCUGUGAGGCCGGGCUCCGAGCAGGGCAGCUCGGCCGUCCCCGACGGCGCAGGCCCUGACCUGUGGGGGCCAGCUCACCGAAUCCUGGCUUGGCACAGCUGAAGAGGGUUUAUAGAUGCCCCAAGCUUGCUUUCCUACAGCUGCUGGUGACCAGGCUUCCCUAACCCAGUAAAGCCACAGCUGCCGGGUUCGUGGCCGCGGCCUGGGGAGCUCUCAGAGUUCCCCAGGUGAGUCUCACUUGCAGAGGAGACUGGGAAUCAGUUCCCUAUUGGGUGAGCACAUUGAGGCCCAGAGGCAGGUGGGGGCCGCACCCACGUUCACAGCAAGAAGCAGACCCCUUCAGAAGCUCCAGCACCCUUUGCCAAACCAUGUCUAUGGCCUUCAGUAACUUCCCGGUCUCAAGGGCAAGGUCAGAGGCUGUAGAUCCACCCGAGAGAACCUUGGAACCUUGGGGUUUCGGAGCCAAAGAAGCCUCCUACCCCUGGGUUCAGCAUCGCCGGCCAGAGAAGCCAGAGCAAAGCUGGCACAGCGCCACUCUGUGGCAUAUCUGCGUUCUGCACCUCCCAGCCGGGCACCUCCCCAGCCCACUGGGUCCCCUGAUGGCCCUCGACCCUUGGGUAGGCGAGGUCCCUGCUCCCCUGCUCUGAAGGAGGAAGGGCCUCCGGGCUUAGAGCCCCUACCUGAGAGGUGGGUGCCCGCGGCUCCUACUUUGCCAGAGGAACGCAGGUGAGUGAGACCUGGCUGCUAGCGCUCUCUCUCGCCCCGGGAACGCGUAGGGGCUUGUGGAGUCAGCCAGCAAGGCAGGUUUUGCCUGGCCCCAUGCGAAGGCUUGGAAUUCCCAGUCUGGGUUAUUCGAAGUCCACAGCGGGCUGGGGUUGGGUGGUAGCGCGUUAAUUACCUGUGUUAUGGCAACACAGCAGCCUCUAAACCACAGGGCUGCGUGAAGCCGGCCGGCCCCCCUUGCCCGGCCCCCCUUGCCCGGCGUGCCAGCAGAGCUGUUUUCCCGAGCUGCAGGGAUCUGUGUUCCAGGUGACAUUUCAGCUUGGCCACUCGCUUCCAUUUCUCUCCUCUCUCGUCGAGUGUGGUGCGGGCCGCCGAGCCCCUGGCUCCGCUUCCCCACACUGGCCUUUCUCCCCGAUCGAGGCCACAGGCGGGAGGGGACGUGUUCCUGUCAGUGAGAAUUUAUUGAGCGCCUGCUAUGAACCUGGCCCGCGCCGGCUGCUCGGAGGUGUACAUGCAGAUAAGACCGGAGCGCAUCCCGAGCGGCCCUUUGCACGCCUGCCAAACGGCGCGCCGGGGGCCUUUUAAUCUCGCCUCUGCAGCUUCGUUCCCCCACCAGCCUCUUGACGUGCGCCUCUGCUCCAGCAGGAUGGAACCUCAGGCCUCCCUGCUCUGUGCCCUGUCCCUGCCUUUGCUGGGGCUGCUCCUCUGCCUGGCACUCUCCUGUCAGCUGCGAAGCCCGGGGUCCCUGAGACCAACCCCACCCCCCGCCGCCUCUCCCUCCCCAAAGCCUAGAGCACAUCCAGAGGGGAAGCUCCUGCAGAGCUGGGCGAAGUGAGAGCAGCCUCCGGAGAGGGUGGGUAGGCCUGGCGGGAACCAGCAUGAAGCCCUCAGACCAGGUGUUCAUUCUUGACUACAUUUUAGAUUCACCUGGGGACUUUUUAAACCCCCAGCCCCCCAGCCCAGGCCGCACCUGUGACCGGUGAAGACCCAAAUCUCUAGGGUUGGGGCCCGGGUAUCUGAGCUUCCAAAGCCCCAGCUGAGCUCCAAGGGCCUUCUGCUGGGGGUGGGGAGCCGUGGGUGAGGCAUCCUCGGUGGAGAGGGGGGGCUGCUGCUUCCUCAGGAGAAUUGCGGUCCCACGUGGGAGGCCAGAGUUUGCUGUUGGCCCCAGAGUUGCCCCAGGUGAGCUGCAAGCCCUUCUCCUAAAGGGGCCUUCCCGUGCGGGUUGUGCUUGGAUGGGUGGCUUCUCUGUCUCUGGAGCGCUGGCCAAGCCUUCCCUUCCUGGAACCGGUUCCUCCAGCUGGAGGUGUGAGAAGUUGCACGUUGCAGUGGCUUUUUUGGGGGUUGCCAGACUCCUCGUGGGUCAGUGAUGGCAUAGGCCCUCUCACCGAGGUCGGGGCUGCUGCGCGCCCCCGCCACCCCCAGCUGCUGCCUUCCUGUAGGAUGGGGAGGCAGUGGCUUUUUGGAGUCAAGGAUUGAGGUGACAUAAUGCGUGUCACAGGCCCGUGCCUGAACGGGUCAACAAAGAGGAAGGGCCAAAGCCCUCCGGGGGCUGGGGGAAGAGCCCGUGUCUGCUCUUAGUGGCCUGUUGGUCUGUCUCUGACCAGGGCAGUCACCUCUGGCUGAACCUGUGUGACUGGCACACUUGCGGGCCUGGGUUUUCUCUCUAAAGGAGGAAUGGCCGUGGCGCCCACGUUGUUGGGCUGUAGAGGGUUAACCGCGUUCUUAUAGAGUGCUCAGAGCAGCGCCUGGCACGGAGGGCACUCGUGGUGGGGUUUGUCAGGAAGCGCGCCAGGUCAUCCCCGACUUGGUGGCUCUAGGAGUCCUGGGAUUUUAACCGAGGACACCGGAAGGCUCGGUCCACUGCCCUCUGUGGCCUCCCAGGGGCUCCCUGGAGCCCCCACUGACCCUCCCCCUGGUGAGGCUGCAGGAACCAAAGGGUUCUUCUGGGGCCUGGCCCACUACCAGGGUCUUGGACACGCAUGGACGCGCAUACCCACCCCUCUGGGGGGACUUGCUGCCCCCUGCCCCACCCUGUGGUGGUGGGUGGGAUUGCUGGUGGUGCCUCUUCUAGCCCUGCCCUUCCUGUCCAGUUGGCACAUCUGUGCCCGCAGGCAGCAGCAAAAGGUUUCCUUCCAUCAGUUGGCUUUUGGUCAGGGAGGGCCCUAUCGACAUUGGCAGGUGGAGGCUUCUGAAGGAAAAUCCAUGUGUCAAAAGCUGAGGAGAAUCAGGCCUGCAGGCGGAGUGGGUGGGGCCUCCUUAGGGCCCCCCCGGGCGUCUCCACCAUCUCCCCCCCCACCCCCAGCUGAGCUAGGGCCCCAGGCGCCCCCUGCUGUGCCACCGGCCUGUUUGGGGACAGGAAGGAUGAGAUGUCCUGGGGUGGUUCUCACUCUGUCCUCUUGUUCCCUGAGGGUCUGGCUGGCAGGGUCGGGAUUACCCUGUUUGGCCAUCAACUGGGAGAAACAGGAGCUCAUCUGUCUGCCUCCUCUCGCCCCACGGGGGCUCACGCUGCUGCCCCCCACCAGACAUCCGUGAAGGAUAAAACCCAGGGGCAGGAACGGAUUCUUCCUGCCAGAUUUCUGGGGUCCGUUUAUCUUUGAAUGUAUUUGUGUAGCUUUUUUACGUCGGCUGUGUGGUCUCUCUCCCUUCACUUAGGCACAGAGGGACGUGCUAGACCAGACGACGGCCAAGUUGAAUACAGGUCAAGGUGAAAUUCUCCAUCAGAUGGGAACACUGGAGGGACUUCUGCAUCCCAGAGGUGGCAGGCCUGUGUGACUGCCCCCUGCCACUUCGUGGGGCGGUGGGGUGGGGGGAAGAGGUGAGCUGCCCUCAUUUCACAGGAUGAGAAAACUGAGGCUCAGAAUCGGCCCCUGAGGCUCUGUCCUCGGGGCCCCGUUUAGAGGGGCUCUUGAGAAGGAUUUCUGGCCGACCCUGCUCGGGCUCGCGGGGGAAGGGAAGUGUGGGCUGCGAUUGUCUGUUUUAGAUCAGAUUGAUGGCUGGGCCUUUCUUUUCUGGACACAGAGACGUAGCUUUUUGGAAAUAGUUGUCUCGUGAGACUCUAAGACGCGGGAGGGCUUCCUUGGUGGCACUGCUAGUACCGGGAGCCUGUCAGCUGGGCACAGGGAGUGGGUUGUAACCACACAGCCGGUUUCCGAGUUGAAACUUGCAGGACUGCAUCGCCUCCCUCCUCGCGCGGUGCUGUGUGUCGUGGGGUGUCUGGGCCGGGCUUCUUCCAUCCUGGGCCCCGGAGGGCCCCCUGCCGUUUGGUGCUGCCGUGUUCCCAGUUCCCACGGGCGUGUUCUCACUUCUUGACAGUGACCCAUCUGUGAUCCCUUGAAUAGGUCUUGGGAGGGGAAAAGGCCGGGUGUGACGUCUCGAUGUCUUGAUGUCCUGCAUCAUUAAAAACGUUGCCGGGAAAGGGAGGUCCCGUUGUGGCGCAGUGGUUAACGAAUCCGACGAGGAACCAUGAAGUUGCGGGUUCGAUCCCUGGCUUUGCUGCUUGGGUUAAGGAUCCGGCGUUGCCGUGAGCUGUGGUGUAGGUUGCAGAUGCGGCUCGGAUCCCACGUUACUGUGGUUCUGGUGUGGGCCAGCGGCUAUAGCUCCGAUUUGACCCCUAGCCUGGGAACCUCCAUAUGCCGCGGGAGCGGCCCUAGAAAAGGCAAAAAGACAAAAAACAAAAACAAAACACACACGUGGCCAGAUUCCUCCAGAAAGAGUUGUGGGGACUCGCCUUUCUACCCACGCUGCAACCUAGACCCUUAUUUACCCGACUCUGGCUGAUCGGGGUUCCCUCUGCAGCCCUCAGCCUCCAGGACGUUCAUUCUCCCCACAAGGGAGAGAAAACCUGUCCAUCAGCCUUGAGGCUUUUGUGGCGCCAGCAGUCGAGCUCGGGGGCAGCCAGGCCCACCCCUCACCAGGUGACCUGGGAGCCCUUCGAGGUGAAGCCUGCUACCUGAGAGAGCCAGUUCUGGCCUCAGCAUCCUGCCUGGGUUCCUGGAACCCUGUGGAGGGUUUUCGUUGUUUAGGCCUAGGCAGUUGGCUGCUCAGCCACUGAUGGAUGUGGCCUGAGGACGGUAUCCGGCCUGGCCUGGCGUGUGGCAGGGUUGGGUCUAGGCAGCUCACAGGGGGUGGCUUAUGAAUGUUUUUGUGAACUUCUACUGGUGGCCCCACUCGGAAGCCCAUUUUGGCUGCAGCUUGUUUUUUGUUAAGUGGGGCAGUGAUUGAUGUUUGGGCAUGGUACAUAGGGCUUUGAAGAUGGUAGAGGAGCCUGAGUGAGGAAAUACCAUUAGAACUUAGAUCUUGGAGGAGUCCCCCUUGUGGCCCAGCGGGUUCCAAACCUGAGUAGUAUCCAUGAGGAUGUGGGUUCAAUCCCUGGUGUCGCUCAGUGGGUUAAGGAUCUGGUGCUGCUUUGAGCUGCAGUGUAGGUCACAGACGAGGCUCGGAUCCUGAGUUUCUGUGGCUGUGGUGUAGGCCAGUAGCUGCAGGUCCGAUUUGACCCCAGCCCCGGGAACGUCCAUGUGCCACACGUGUGGCCCCAAAGACUUAAAAAAAAAAAA